Arabidopsis thaliana (thale cress) is the source of this 589-nucleotide non-coding RNA. Lineage: Eukaryota; Viridiplantae; Streptophyta; Magnoliopsida; Brassicales; Brassicaceae. The record is from RefSeq.
ACAAGUUGACAUUUCGAGAGAGAGAGAAAAAGGAAGAUACUAUGAUUCAUUCAUCAUAACUAACAAGAUUCAGAAGACCAAAAAAAGUCUGUUUUAGGGAAUAACAUUCACAAAACAAGCCUGAAGGUGAAGUUGAUACGCUUUGGCAAAGAAUGAAUCCAGCCCUUCUGACCACCAACUAUCUAUGUUUUUCAAUGUCAAACUUUGUUGAUCUUCUCUGUUUCUUCUUUUUGACCUCUUCCUCCUCACAGGUCCUUUGUAAUUAUUUAACAGCAAGCUGUUGAGUCAGCUUCCAAGAAGCGCUUUGUAAACCUGACGAGACAAAAGAUAAAUGUUGGUUCCAAGAACACAAGCGACUUCUCGCAUAUAAGAGGUUCAAUUUUUCUAGUUGAUACGGCCAAACCAACAAAAGUCUCUGGAUUCUGAAGACGAACCAAUCAAAAGUGAAUGGUAAAGAUGUUAAAUUUGCUUCCUCUUUUUUUAUAUACCAAACAACAUACCAUUCAACUUUAUGAUGUAAAUUUUAUUGUUUGUUUUGUUGGGAUUAGUUUGAAAUAAGUGUUCCCAAGUCAGCACAGGCUUAUACUGC